GCCUCAUGCAUGCUAUGCACGUGUUUAUCACUGAGUAUUCCCAGCCCCUAUUUUUAUAAUUUGAUUCUGCCUCCUGCUCACCCCCAACCACUGAGAAAGGCACAGGUUGGAGGAAGAGAAGGAAAUCAUGCCAUCCUCCCCUACCCACCUUACUUACUAGGUAGGGAUGUAGACCUGUUUCAGUUUGCUAUCUGCUUCAGCAGCUUUCAAUCUUUUCUGGAAGAAGGGAAAGAAGAGAAGAUUCAGAGGCUCUCAGCAGGGAAGAUGCCAUCAACUUCAAAGGCAGAGGUCUGCAGAUCCCCACAAAGCCCCGCCAGCCCAACUACCCACCAACUUCUGCUCACCAGAGUGAUGUCUCGGGAAGCGGCAGCUGCACUCAUGUGCAGGCUUGGCUGCCGAAUGGAGCUGCUGCAAUCUAGGGCUCUUGCAAAGGUCCCCACAGCUCUAAGGGAGAUAUUGAGAAGUCAAAGAGAAAAGAAGGUGCAAACAGACUGAGGAAUUAAGCCAUAGGAGAAAAAGAAAAAUAGCCAUACCAAAAAACAAAUAAAGCCCAUCUCUAAGAAUGGGUAGGGCUCAGAACUAUGGCCACACCUCCCCCAGCCCAUCUUCCCCAUCCACCCACCCCUCACCGGGCCACCACGAGAAAUUGAUCAAUCUGCCGGUCUGUGAGAGGAUUGUCUGGGUCCCAGACCUUCAUCUCCAUCUUCUGUUGGUUCCGAUUAUCCAAUUCUCCUGGAGAACAAACAAUGGCAUCAUCAGGGAGAAGGAA
Ictidomys tridecemlineatus (thirteen-lined ground squirrel) is the source of this 769-nucleotide non-coding RNA. NCBI's taxonomy places the organism in Eukaryota, Metazoa, Chordata, Mammalia, Rodentia, Sciuridae. The record is from RefSeq and is a predicted model, not a curated record.